AGGACCACAAGUCCCACAAAAGUUCUAUUACCACGAAGCGGUCCUAUAGAUCUUGAAGGCACUCCGAACGGCUCCACAGAAGGCAACGGGUGCUAUCUCGACAACAGCCCACAUCCAAUCGACAUCGAGAGUGGUCCAUCUCCGGAGGACAGAGUACGAUGCUGUAUUAAGUCAACUGAGACUCUAGUUUCGAGACAGCAAAAUAAAGAUUCACCUCCAGGUGCAAUAUCUACAGAUCCUCCCGUGUCAGAACAUUAAUUCCUCAGAAUCUCCAGGUUCCCAAGGAUAAAUCUACGGGUCCUACAGGAUCAUAACAUGAAGCCAUUCAAAGCCUUAGAUUCCAAAGAAGAAUCAGCAGGGACUACAAGUUCCUACGCGAUGUGUGUCGAUACCUCAGGGUAG
This 402-nucleotide long non-coding RNA is filed under the name Brassica napus (rape). RNAcentral describes it as "long non-coding RNA (BNAP_LNC020557)". Lineage: Eukaryota; Viridiplantae; Streptophyta; Magnoliopsida; Brassicales; Brassicaceae. The record is from RNAcentral.